This is a long non-coding RNA of Magallana angulata, 265 nucleotides long. RefSeq lists it as uncharacterized. The record is from RefSeq and is a predicted model, not a curated record. Lineage: Eukaryota; Metazoa; Mollusca; Bivalvia; Ostreida; Ostreidae. The transcript is spliced from 3 exons.
UGUAGUCGGGAUCGUCUUCCUCCAUUUUGACCUUCGGAUUCAGCAACGUUCCUAGAAAAGAACCAUGCACUGGGCCAAUUUCAACUUAUACUUCAUUUGGUACAAGGAAUAAUUAGAUGGAGGGGCGAUGGAUAAAAUUAGGACCAGCAGAUAUCAAGCAAAGACGAAUGCAGGUUAUGGGACAUGCUGGCAGGGAGCUCAAAGUGGAUCUUGAUAGGAAGUUAGUUGUCCCCAACAUCAAUGAAUUAACCUGUAUACAAACAGA